UAAGCGGAGGAGAAAAAACUACCAAGGAUUCCCCUAGUANCGGCGAGUGAAGCGGGAUGAGCUCAAAUUUGAAAGCUGGCACCUUUGGUGUCCGCAUUGUAAUCUCGAGAAGUAGUUUCUGUGCUGGACCAUGUACAAGUUCCUUGGAAUAGGACAUCAGAGAGGGUGAGAAUCCCGUACUUGACAUGGAUCCCAGUGCUUUGUGAUCUGCUCUCUAUGAGUCGAGUUGUUUGGGAAUGCAGCUCAAAAUGGGUGGUAAAUUCCAUCUAAAGCUAAAUAUUGGGGAGAGACCGAUAGCGAACAAGUACCGUGAGGGAAAGAUGAAAAGCACUUUGGAAAGAGAGUUAAACAGUACGUGAAAUUGUCAAAAGGGAAGCGCUUGAGGUUAGCUAUGCAUGCAGUAUUCAACCUUUCUUUUGAUGGGUGUAUUUGCUGUUUUUUGCAGGCCAGCAUCGGUUUUGUCUGCUGGAUAAUGGUAAGGGGAAUGUGGCACCCUCGGGUGUGUUAUAGCCUCGUACUUGAUACAGUGGAUGGGACCGAGGACCGCAGUGUGCCGUAUGGCGGCUCUUCGGAGACCUUCGCACUUAGGAUGCUGG
Molecule: ribosomal RNA, 596 nt
Filed under: Tilletia lycuroides
Lineage: Eukaryota; Fungi; Basidiomycota; Exobasidiomycetes; Tilletiales; Tilletiaceae
Description: eukaryotic LSU rRNA
Rfam family: Eukaryotic large subunit ribosomal RNA
Source: RNAcentral